CCGAGCACGACCUAAUGCUACCUGAGCUAACUCGCUAGCUAAAACCGCUAACAGCAUCGACGAACUUGAUGACGUUACGGUGUUGACUUUAAAAGAUCAGCACCAGAUCCUCAGACCAUGGUGUGUUGGCUGUACUAUGUUGGGGGAAAAAAGGCGGGGGACCGGGCCUUUUCUGUUGCAGCCCCUCAGCUCUGGAACACCCUGCCAGAAGGCCGACUCUGUUGAGACUCUUAUGAAGCACCCUAAGACCCAUAUUUAAUCCUUGUCUUUCAAUAGCAUUUGAUCUGUUUUUAUUUUUUCAUCUGGUCACUCUUGGUGUUAAUAGCUUUUCGUUUCUUGAUACAUUGAUGUUGAUCUGUAUUUCACAUGUUUUACAUGACAUGCUGAAUGUGAAGCACUUUGGUGCAAAUGCUCUUUGCUCUUAAGGUGCUAUAUGAAUGAAAUAAACUUAAACAAGUACUGUAUAUUCAUGCUUGUAUAUUACCUGA
Long non-coding RNA from Mugil cephalus (flathead mullet), 488 nucleotides. RefSeq lists it as uncharacterized. The record is from RefSeq and is a predicted model, not a curated record. The transcript is spliced from 2 exons. NCBI's taxonomy places the organism in Eukaryota, Metazoa, Chordata, Actinopteri, Mugiliformes, Mugilidae.